RNAcentral lists this ribosomal RNA (494 nucleotides) under uncultured bacterium. RNAcentral describes it as "partial 16S ribosomal RNA". It matches the Rfam family "Bacterial small subunit ribosomal RNA", at positions 28 to 507 of the family's 1533-position model. The record is from RNAcentral.
GACGAACGCUGGCGGCGUGCUUAACACAUGCAAGUCGAACGGAAAGGCCUGCUUUCCCUUGUGGAUUGCGUGUACUCGAGUGGCUAACGGGUGAGUAACACGUGAGUGAUCUACCCCCAACUUGGGUAUAAGCAUGGGAGACUGGGUCUAAUUCCCGAUAGGACUGCAGGGUGGUGUCGUUGGUGGCAAACGUUUUUCUAGUGGUUGGGGAUGAGCUCGCGGCCUAUCAGCUUGUUGGUGGGGUAAUGGACUACCAAGGCGGCGACGGGUAGCCGGCCUGGGAGGGUGGACGGCCACAUUGGGACUGAGAUACGGCCCAGACUCCUACGGGAGGCAGCAGUGGGGAAUAUUGCACAAUGGGCGGAAGCCUGAUGCAGCGACGCCGCGUGGGGGAUGACGGCCUUCGGGUUGUAAACUCCUUUCGACCGCGAGGAAGCCACCUGGUUGGAAGGGUGGUGACGGUAGUGGUAGAAGAAGCACCGGCUAACUACGUG